This 497-nucleotide ribosomal RNA is filed under the name uncultured bacterium. Its description in RNAcentral is "partial 16S ribosomal RNA". It matches the Rfam family "Bacterial small subunit ribosomal RNA", at positions 28 to 507 of the family's 1533-position model. The record is from RNAcentral.
GACGAACGCUGGCGGCGUGCCUAAUACAUGCCAGUAGAACGCUGAAGAGAGGAGCUUGCUCUUCUUGGAUGAGUUGCGAACGGGUGAGUAACGCGUAGGUAACCUGCCUUGUAGCGGGGGAUAACUAUUGGAAACGAUAGCUAAUACCGCAUAACAAUGGAUGACACAUGUCAUUUAUUUGAAAGGGGCAAUUGCUCCACUACAAGAUGGACCUGCGUUGUAUUAGCUAGUAGGUGAGGUAAUGGCUCACCUAGGCGACGAUACAUAGCCGACCUGAGAGGGUGAUCGGCCACACUGGGACCGAGACACGGCCCAGACUCCUACGGGAGGCAGCAGUAGGGAAUCUUCGGCAAUGGGGGCAACCCUGACCGAGCAACGCCGCGUGAGUGAAGAAGGUUUUCGGAUCGUAAAGCUCUGUUGUAAGUCAAGAACGGGUGUGAGAGUGGAAAGUUCACACUGUGACGGUAGCUUACCAGAAAGGGACGGCUAACUACGUG